CGAACGCUGGAGAUCUAGCUUGCUAGAUCGAAGGAGUGGCGAACGGGUGAGUAAUACAUAAGCAACCUACCCACGAAGACUGGGAUAAUCUCUGGAAACGGGGACUAAUACCGGAUAGGUAAUCGGAAGGCAUCUUCUGGUUAUUAAAGGUUAAAAACACUGGUGGAUGGGCUUAUGGCGCAUUAGUUAGUUGGUGAGGUAACGGCCCACCAAGACGAUGAUGCGUAGCCGGCCUGAGAGGGUGAACGGCCACAUUGGGACUGAGACACGGCCCAGACUCCUACGGGAGGCAGCAGUAGGGAAUUUUCGGCAAUGGGGGCAACCCUGACCGAGCAACGCCGCGUGAGUGAAGACGGCCUUCGGGUUGUAAAGCUCUGUUGUAAGGGAAGAACGGUAGAUAGAGAAUAUCUAAGUGACGGUACCUUACCAGAAAGCCACGGCUAACUACGUGCCAGCAGCCGCGGUAAUACGUAGGUGGCGAGCGUUAUCCGGAAUUAUUGGGCGUAAAGGGUGCGUAGGCGGCCUGUUAAGUAAGUGGUUAAAUUGUUGGGCUCAACCCAAUCCAGCCACUUAAACUGGCAGGCUAGAGUAUUGGAGAGGCAAGUGGAAUUCCAUGUGUAGCGGUAAAAUGCGUAGAUAUAUGGAGGAA
This 649-nucleotide ribosomal RNA is filed under the name uncultured Mollicutes bacterium. RNAcentral describes it as "bacterial SSU rRNA". It matches the Rfam family "Bacterial small subunit ribosomal RNA", at positions 63 to 706 of the family's 1533-position model. Lineage: Bacteria; Bacillati; Mycoplasmatota; Mollicutes. The record is from RNAcentral.